Molecule: ribosomal RNA, 423 nt
Filed under: uncultured bacterium
Lineage: Bacteria
Description: bacterial SSU rRNA
Rfam family: Bacterial small subunit ribosomal RNA
Source: RNAcentral
AAGACCUUGCGCUUUUGGAGCGGCCGAUGCCUGAUUAGCUAGUUGGUGGGGUAAUGGCCUACCAAAGCUUCGAUCAGUAGCUGGUCUGAGAGGACGGCCAGCCACACUGGGACUGAGACACGGCCCAGACUCCUACGGGAGGCAGCAGUGGGGAAUUUUGGACAAUGGGGGCAACCCUGAUCCAGCCAUGCCGCGUGAGUGAAGAAGGCCUUCGGGUUGUAAAGCUCUUUCAGCCGGAACGAAACGGUUACGGAUAACACCCGUGACUACUGACGGUACCGGAAGAAGAAGCACCGGCUAACUACGUGCCAGCAGCCGCGGUAAUACGUAGGGUGCGAGCGUUAAUCGGAAUUACUGGGCGUAAAGCGUGCGCAGGUGGUUUUGUAAGUCAGAUGUGAAAGCCCCGGGCUCAACCUGGGAACU